RNAcentral lists this ribosomal RNA (253 nucleotides) under uncultured bacterium. Its description in RNAcentral is "partial 16S ribosomal RNA". It matches the Rfam family "Bacterial small subunit ribosomal RNA", at positions 524 to 776 of the family's 1533-position model. The record is from RNAcentral.
UACAGAGGUGGCAAGCGUUGUUCGGAAUUACUGGGCGUAAAGGGCGCGUAGGCGGCCUUCUAAGUCAGACGUGAAAUCCCCCGGCUUAACCUGGGAACUGCGUCUGAUACUGGGAGGCUUGAGUAUGGGAGAGGGAUGUAGAAUUCCAGGUGUAGUGGUGAAAUGCGUAGAUAUCUGGAGGAAUACCGGUGGCGAAGGCGGCAUCCUGGACCAUAACUGACGCUGAGGCGCGAAAGCUAGGGGAGCAAACGGG